AUGCCUAUAUCCUUUAGAACCAUAGAAGCAGGAACACUUCCAGAUCCAGUUGGUGACGCUCACGCCCCAGGGUUUAGUUUAGUCUAUCUUAUGGUGAAAAUGUCCUGGUCAGCAGGGCAAAGCGUCCUGAAGAGGCUACUGGUCACUGUGCUGGGACUUUUGUGCACCCAGGUUUGCUGUGUGACAGGAUUGAUGGUGAAGCAGAGUCCCCCAGACCUGAGUCUCCAGGAAGGACUCAGCUGCACACUGCAGUGCAAUUUUUCCACCUCUGUGAACAGGGUGCAGUGGUUUCGCCAAAAUCCUGGGGGCCACCUCAUCCACCUGUUUUACAUUCCUUCCGGGACAAAGCAGAAUGGAAGAUUACGCUCUACGACCAUGGUUGAGGAUCGCCGCAGCUUGCUCUACAUUUCCUCCUCCAGCACCACAGACUCAGCCAUUUAUUUCUGCGCCGGGGCAGAGUCACAAUGCUCCCCAGGCACCUGCAGCCUGUGCACAAACCCUCAGCAGGACUUGGCUCCUCCUCCAGCCGCAGUCAGAUCCAGAAGCCCACCACACGGCAUUGGCACGGCUUAAUAUUUCUGACUAUAUCGCUGGAGUUCAAACCACAGGCACUUUUAGGUCCUACAGAUUUGAGACUUUUUGGUCUUUAUCUUCCCUUCUCAACCUGGGAUCUCUUUUUCUGGACUUAAACCUCUGACUUGGAACAUGAGUAGCUAAUGAGAAGACAGACUUAAAAUGAAUAGUUAAGCCCAAUAUGCGGGAUUCCAAGAGGGAAAAAAGUGAAAGGAAUACAAAGAAAAAAAAAUCACUCCAAUAAAGAUGUUAUUAGAGAAGGAUCCAGCUUAGCUGGGUGUCUCAAGAGUACAAACCUGCCUCAAUCCAAUGUGUCUUAAUAGACAAUUGCAACUCGCUGCAUCCCAUCCUGAUGAGGGAGCAAAAGGCAAGCUGGGGGCAAAGCACAAGCUAACAUCCUGCAACCCCUCCCCAUCCCCAGGUGGGAUGUGUGUGAUAUUCCUCAGGCACUCCUGGCUGCCCAAGAACAAAGGAAGGGGAAAAGCAAAUGGUUAACUGAUAGAGAUCACAGCCAUGCAAGACAUGUUUCCAUGUUUGCAACUGCGUUAAUGAUUAAU
This is a non-coding RNA of Neofelis nebulosa (Clouded leopard), 1130 nucleotides long. The record is from the annotation of a RefSeq genome assembly. Lineage: Eukaryota; Metazoa; Chordata; Mammalia; Carnivora; Felidae.